UCCGAGUUGACCCCGGCAGUCUCCCAUGAGUCCCCAGCCACCAAAAGGCGCUGCUGGCAACAUGGAACGAGGGUUGCGCUCGUUGCGGGACUUAACCCAACAUCUCACGACACGAGCUGACGACAACCAUGCACCACCUGUGUACCGACCUUGCGGGGCACCCAUCUCUGGAUGUUUCCGGUACAUGUCAAGCCUUGGUAAGGUUCUUCGCGUUGCAUCGAAUUAAUCCACAUGCUCCGCCGCUUGUGCGGGCCCCCGUCAAUUCCUUUGAGUUUUAGCCUUGCGGCCGUACUCCCCAGGCGGGGCACUUAAUGCGUUAGCUACGGCGCGGAAAACGUGGAAUGUCCCCCACACCUAGUGCCCAACGUUUACGGCAUGGACUAC
This 384-nucleotide unclassified non-coding RNA is filed under the name uncultured Micrococcales bacterium. Its description in RNAcentral is "contains 16S-23S intergenic spacer region". The record is from RNAcentral. Lineage: Bacteria; Bacillati; Actinomycetota; Actinomycetes; Micrococcales.